RNAcentral lists this ribosomal RNA (490 nucleotides) under uncultured bacterium. RNAcentral describes it as "partial 16S ribosomal RNA". It matches the Rfam family "Bacterial small subunit ribosomal RNA", at positions 29 to 506 of the family's 1533-position model. The record is from RNAcentral.
GUGAACGCUGGCGGUAGGCCUAACACAUGCAAGUCGAACGGCAGCACAGUAAGAGCUUGCUCUUACGGGUGGCGAGUGGCGGACGGGUGAGGAAUACAUCGGAAUCUACUUUUUCGUGGGGGAUAACGUAGGGAAACUUACGCUAAUACCGCAUACGACCUACGGGUGAAAGCAGGGGAUCUUCGGACCUUGCGCGAUUGAAUGAGCCGAUGUCGGAUUAGCUAGUUGGCGGGGUAAAGGCCCACCAAGGCGACGAUCCGUAGCUGGUCUGAGAGGAUGAUCAGCCCCACUGGAACUGAGACACGGUCCAGACUCCUACGGGAGGCAGCAGUGGGGAAUAUGGGACAAGGGGCGCAAGCCUGAUCCAGCCAUACCGCGUGGGUGAAGAAGGCCUUCGGGUUGUAAAGCCCUUUUGUUGGGAAAGAAAAGCAGCAGGUUAAUACCCCGCUGUUCUGACGGUACCCAAAGAAUAAGCACCGGCUAACUUCGU